Molecule: ribosomal RNA, 133 nt
Filed under: Vibrio parahaemolyticus
Lineage: Bacteria; Pseudomonadati; Pseudomonadota; Gammaproteobacteria; Vibrionales; Vibrionaceae
Description: partial 23S ribosomal RNA
Rfam family: Bacterial large subunit ribosomal RNA (bases 1-115)
Source: RNAcentral
UGAUACUUUAAGUAUCCUAAAGGGUUGUCGGAGACUACGACGUUGAUAGGUCAGGUGUGUAAGUGCUGUGAGGCAUUGAGCUAACUGAUACUAAUUGCCCGUGAGGCUUAACCAUACAACACCCAAGGGGUUU